CGAACACACUGAGGAAAGACAUCAAGGAGAGAACUAACCAGAUAUCAAAGAUGCAGUGGAGUCUGUAUCUGCUUAUUCUGAUGGGUCAGUGUUGCUUCUU
This is a long non-coding RNA of Pundamilia nyererei, 100 nucleotides long. RefSeq lists it as uncharacterized. The record is from RefSeq and is a predicted model, not a curated record. The transcript has 3 exons. NCBI's taxonomy places the organism in Eukaryota, Metazoa, Chordata, Actinopteri, Cichliformes, Cichlidae.